This is an RNA transcript of Ctenopharyngodon idella (grass carp), 1557 nucleotides long. It is a transcript of the gene named tumor necrosis factor receptor superfamily member 14, with no coding region annotated. The transcript has 9 exons. Lineage: Eukaryota; Metazoa; Chordata; Actinopteri; Cypriniformes; Xenocyprididae. The record is from RefSeq and is a predicted model, not a curated record.
GUAUGCUCAACUGAAACCAUCUCAGAACCUCGUAACACGGGUUUGUCUCCACACACACAUGUCAGGAAAGAUGUCGGCUGUCAAUGCUGCAACUUUCUGCUGUCAGCUCCCGAUUUUUCGCUGUGAGCACUGACCAGUGUUUUGAGAGAGAAACAGACGUGAAAUGACUCUAUAGCCUAUCAGCUGUUUGUUUGACAAAGAAUGGAAAUAUCUGCAAGAUGCUUGUGGAAACACAACCUGCACAAGAUCUGAUUUUUGAACUACUGUCUUCUUGUCUCUCAGUUUUCAACAAAAUCCACUAUUCUGUUAUCUGCUGUAAAGGCAUCCGUCAGAUGAUUCAACUAAUGGCACAGCAAGCUGAGGAAGUGUUUCCUCACUGCUCAUAUUAGCUGUGACAUGAUCACUUUAAAGAUUAUUGUUCUCUUUACUGUUAUUGUUGCACUUCACUAUGAUUUUUGCUGGUGUCGAUGUGCUGAUGCUGAAUAUGAGAUAGGUGGGAGAUGCUGCCCAAUGUGUGCUGCUGGAAAUCAUGUUUUGUGGCACUGCACAGAAGAUACCAGCACAACUUGUGCUCCAUGCCCUGAAUUCACUUACAUUGAUGAACCCAACGGCUUAUCAAAAUGCUUUGUCUGUACUGUGUGUGAUGCUAGCCGAGGGAUAAGAGUGAAAAAAGCCUGUACUCGGUCGUCAGAUACUGUUUGUGAGCCACUGGAACAAUUCUACUGCAUUGAAAAAAAUAAAGAUAGCUGUAGAAACGCUGUGAAACACUCUGAAUGCAGCCCUGGACAAUAUAUCAAACAAGCAGGAACUCCCUCCACAGAUACAGUAUGUGCAGAUUGUGAAGUCGACACAUAUUCAAACGGCUCUUUUUCAUCCUGUUUACCUCACACACAAUGUGAAGCACUGGGACUUACUGAAACAUCUCCAGGAACACAAUCAUCUGACAGUGAAUGUGGAAACACCACUACUGCACACAUUGCUAGUGUUAUAGUUACUUUAAUAAUAAUAAUAAUUGCAGUAGUAAGUGUUUUUACAAUUGUACAUAUUCGAAAGAAGAAACGAUCUGGUACAGACAGAUUAAAAAAAAAUAUAUACAGUCAAGGAGCUGGAAUACUUUUUGACAAUUACUCAUAUACACUAUAUAUUUGCUACAAUGAGAAAAAAAGAUGGUGAUGCAGUGAGGAAUAUACUAAUGAUUAAAUUACUAUUUUGUCUUCCUUCUGUUCAUGCAGGAAUACAGGGAACAGGAAAUGAUUUCAAUGAAGCAGUCAGUAUGGUUGUUGGUGGCUGUAUAAAGAGAAUCGGAUUGUCCUAACAAAAGUCCUAACAACCUUGGAAUCACUGCAGAAUCCAAUUCCAGAAUAGAGACUACAUCAACCCUCCCCCCCAUCCAUAUCCACUUCAUACACUUAAUAUGGAUACUGAGAAAUAUAUGGUUUUUUCUUACCAUAGAGAUUAUGACAUGUUUCACUUUAAAAGCUAAUACUUUGUAAAUUGUAAAUCUUUAAACUGAUACUCAUUCAUGUUUAUUAAACUGGUAUACAAACCAAGAAAAGA